Molecule: ribosomal RNA, 492 nt
Filed under: uncultured bacterium
Lineage: Bacteria
Description: partial 16S ribosomal RNA
Rfam family: Bacterial small subunit ribosomal RNA
Source: RNAcentral
AGUGAACGCUGGCGGUAGGCCUAACACAUGCAAGUCGAACGGCAGCACAGUAAGAGCUUGCUCUUACGGGUGGCGAGUGGCGGACGGGUGAGGAAUACAUCGGAAUCUACUUUUUCGUGGGGGAUAACGUAGGGAAACUUACGCUAAUACCGCAUACGACCUACGGGUGAAAGCAGGGGAUCUUCGGACCUUGCGCGAUUGAAUGAGCCGAUGUCGGAUUAGCUAGUUGGCGGGGUAAAGGCCCACCAAGGCGACGAUCCGUAGCUGGUCUGAGAGGAUGAUCAGCGACACUGGAACUGGGACACGGUCCAGACUCCUACGGGAGGCAGCAGUGGGGAAUAGUGGACAAUGGGCGCAAGCCUGAUCCAGCCAUACCGAGUGGGUGAAGAAGGCCUUCGGGUUGUAAAGCCCUUUUGUUGGGAAAGAAAAGCAGCAGGUUAAUACCCCGCGGUUCUGACGGUACCCAAUGAAUAAGCACCGGCUAACUUCGUG